Molecule: ribosomal RNA, 1445 nt
Filed under: Planktothrix mougeotii HAB3346
Lineage: Bacteria; Bacillati; Cyanobacteriota; Cyanophyceae; Oscillatoriales; Microcoleaceae
Description: 16S ribosomal RNA
Rfam family: Bacterial small subunit ribosomal RNA
Source: RNAcentral
GAUCCUGGGUCAGGAUGAACGCUGGCGGUCUGCUUAACACAUGCAAGUCGAACGGAAGUAGCAAUACUUUAGUGGCGGACGGGUGAGUAACACGUAAGAACCUGCCUCUUGGCCGGGGACAACAGUUGGAAACGGCUGCUAAUCCCGGAUGAGCCGAAAGGUAAAAGAUUAAUCGCCAAGAGAGGGGCUUGCGUCUGAUUAGCUAGUUGGUAGUGUAAGAGACUACCAAGGCGACGAUCAGUAGCUGGUCUGAGAGGAUGAUCAGCCACACUGGGACUGAGACACGGCCCAGACUCCUACGGGAGGCAGCAGUGGGGAAUUUUCCGCAAUGGGCGAAAGCCUGACGGAGCAAGACCGCGUGGGGGAGGAAGGUUCUUGGAUUGUCAACCCCUUUUCUCAGGGAAGAAGAAAGUGACGGUACCUGAGGAAGAAGCAUCGGCUAACUCCGUGCCAGCAGCCGCGGUAAUACGGAGGAUGCAAGCGUUAUCCGGAAUGAUUGGGCGUAAAGAGUCCGUAGGUGGCCCUUCAAGUCUGCUGUUAAAGAGCGAGGCUUAACUUCGGAAAAGCAGUGGAAACUGGAGAGCUAGAGUGUAGUAGGGGCAGAGGGAAUUCCUGGUGUAGCGGUGAAAUGCGUAGAGAUCAGGAAGAACACCGGUGGCGAAAGCGCUCUGCUGGGCUACAACUGACACUGAGGGACGAAAGCUAGGGGAGCGAAUGGGAUUAGAUACCCCAGUAGUCCUAGCGGUAAACGAUGGAAACUAGGUGUGGCCUGUAUCGACCCGGGCCGUGCCGGAGCAAACGCGUUAAGUUUCCCGCCUGGGGAGUACGCACGCAAGUGUGAAACUCAAAGGAAUUGACGGGGGCCCGCACAAGCGGUGGAGUAUGUGGUUUAAUUCGAUGCAACGCGAAAAACCUUACCAGGACUUGACAUCUCUGGAAUCCGUCUGAAAGGGUGGAGUGCCUUAGGGAACCAGAAGACAGGUGCUGCAUGGCUGUCGUCAGCUCGUGUCGUGAGAUGUUGGGUUAAGUCCCGCAACGAGCGCAACCCUCGUCGUUAGUUGCCAUCAUUAAGUUGGGAACUCUAGCGAGACUGCCGGUGACAAACCGGAGGAAGGUGAGGAUGACGUCAAGUCAGCAUGGCCCUUACGUCCUGGGCGACACACGUACUACAAUGCUAAGGACAGAGAGCAGCCAACCCGCGAGGGAGAGCGAAUCUCAUAAACCUUGGCACAGUUCAGAUUGAAGCUUGCAACUCAGCUUCAUGAAGGAGGAAUCGCUAGUAAUCGCAGGUCAGCAUACUGCGGUGAAUCCGUUCCCGGGCCUUGUACACACCGCCCGUCACACCAUGGAAGUGAGCCACGCCCGAAGUCAUUACUCUAACCUGCAAGGGGGGAGGGUGCCGAAGGCAGGGCUGAUGACUGGGGUGAGUCGUAACAAGGUAGCCG